Molecule: non-coding RNA, 387 nt
Organism: Gasterosteus aculeatus aculeatus (three-spined stickleback)
Lineage: Eukaryota; Metazoa; Chordata; Actinopteri; Perciformes; Gasterosteidae
Source: RefSeq, a predicted model, not a curated record
GUCAGUGUGGCAACAGGACGCAAGAGUGGGACCGAUGAUUAUUUUGCCAGCAAAGCAGAAAAGUGGGCGAAUACCUGCAGAGGAGCUUCCUGCUGUUCUUGAUCAAGUCACUGGACCCUCACGGUAUGGAAGCCAGUGGAGAAGUGUAAGAAAAGACAACAUUGAUGGUGAUGCUGGUAUAAACGCUGUCCUUCUAGAAAAGUCUUCCCCUGAGGACGACGUAAAGUCAAAGGCGGCAGCAGCGCUGGAUGAAAUCAGGACGGCAGCCCUCGAGGAUGUCAUCCCAAAUGCUCAGUUUACUGUGGAUGUGACACAAAUGUCAAAUGAAACCGGAAAUGUGCUUUGAGAUACAAAAAUGAAUUAAACAGAUGUUUCCUUAAAAUGGAA